GCUGUGUGUCUUUGUCUUCCUGUUAGUUGUUGUUUGUGCUUCCUGCCAAUCUAAUAGGAUAGGAUGUGUCCAACUUAAUUUUCACAGUUUGUUCCUAUUUUGUGCUGUUACACUAUUAUCCCAGGUAUCCCACAAACAUGUAAAAUCCUAUUGCAUUCUAUAUGUGCCUGUCCCAAAUCAGGAGCCUGUAGUUCAGAGGUUGUCGUUUGUUGCUGUCUGUCAUAUGUUAUUUUUUUUUAUUGUUUGUAUUUUAUCAGGCUUUUGGUUUAACAAAUCGUCAUGUGAGUGGCCUUUUAUAGCUGUCUUAUAUGAUGUCGGUUUUGUAACUUUGCUCAUUGAAGUCCAAUAAUUGCUUAAUUCCACAUCAUUUUAGAGACUCUGUUGGAUAGUUUUCUCAUUGGC
Molecule: long non-coding RNA, 402 nt
Filed under: Mytilus galloprovincialis (Mediterranean mussel)
Lineage: Eukaryota; Metazoa; Mollusca; Bivalvia; Mytilida; Mytilidae
Source: RNAcentral